AUUGAACGCUGGCGGCAGGCCUAACACAUGCAAGUCGAGCGGAUGAAGGGAGCUUGCUCCUGGAUUCAGCGGCGGACGGGUGAGUAAUGCCUAGGAAUCUGCCUGGUAGUGGGGGAUAACGUCCGGAAACGGGCGCUAAUACCGCAUACGUCCUGAGGGAGAAAGUGGGGGAUCUUCGGACCUCACGCUAUCAGAUGAGCCUAGGUCGGAUUAGCUAGUUGGUGGGGUAAAGGCCUACCAAGGCGACGAUCCGUAACUGGUCUGAGAGGAUGAUCAGUCACACUGGAACUGAGACACGGUCCAGACUCCUACGGGAGGCAGCAGUGGGGAAUAUUGGACAAAGGGCGAAAGCCUGAUCCAGCCAUGCCGCGUGUGUGAAGAAGGUCUUCGGAUUGUAAAGCACUUUAAGUUGGGAGGAAGGGCAGUAGGUUAAUACCUUGCUGUUUUGACGUUACCAACAGAAUAAGCACCGGCUAACUUCGUG
This 484-nucleotide ribosomal RNA is filed under the name uncultured bacterium. RNAcentral's name for it is "partial 16S ribosomal RNA". It matches the Rfam family "Bacterial small subunit ribosomal RNA", at positions 30 to 507 of the family's 1533-position model. The record is from RNAcentral.